AAUAGGCCUGGUCGAAGCUGCAUUUGAAUUUUAAUGUCAGAUGGCAGUCAAAACAUGGCCAAUAUAAAAAUUUCUCCCAUUGGUCACUGAUUUGGUGAUUGUAUCAUGUCAGUAUUACCCAGGGAUGAAAACAAAA
Molecule: small nucleolar RNA, 136 nt
Organism: Schistocerca americana (American grasshopper)
Lineage: Eukaryota; Metazoa; Arthropoda; Insecta; Orthoptera; Acrididae
Source: RefSeq, a predicted model, not a curated record